Molecule: ribosomal RNA, 440 nt
Filed under: uncultured bacterium
Lineage: Bacteria
Description: partial 16S ribosomal RNA
Rfam family: Bacterial small subunit ribosomal RNA
Source: RNAcentral
CCUACGGGAGGCAGCAGUGGGGAAUAUUGCACAAUGGGGGAAACCCUGAUGCAGCGACGCCGCGUGAAGGAAGAAGUCUUUCGGUAUGUAAACUUCUAUCAGCAGGGAAGAAAAUGACGGUACCUGACUAAGAAGCCCCGGCUAACUACGUGCCAGCAGCCGCGGGCAUACGUAGGGGGCAAGCGUUAUCCGGAUUUACUGGGUGUAACGGGAGCGGAGGCGGUGAUGCAAGUCAGAAGUGAAAGCCCGCAGCUCAACUGCGGGACUGCUUUUGAUACUGUAUGACUAGAUUGCAGGAGAGGUAAGUAGAAUUCCUAGUGUAGCGGUGAAAUGCGUAGAUAUUAGGAGGAACACCAGUGGCGAAGGCGGCUUACUGGACUGUAAAUGACGCUGAGGCUCGAAAGCGUGGGGAGCAAACAGGAUUAGAUACCCCAGUAGUC